RNAcentral lists this ribosomal RNA (290 nucleotides) under Staphylococcus aureus. RNAcentral's name for it is "partial 23S ribosomal RNA". It matches the Rfam family "Bacterial large subunit ribosomal RNA", at positions 1591 to 1882 of the family's 2925-position model. Lineage: Bacteria; Bacillati; Bacillota; Bacilli; Caryophanales; Staphylococcaceae. The record is from RNAcentral.
UCGUUGAUUUCACACUGCCGAGAAAAGCCUCUAGAUAGAAAAUAGGUGCCCGUACCGCAAACCGACACAGGUAGUCAAGAUGAGAAUUCUAAGGUGAGCGAGCGAACUCUCGUUAAGGAACUCGGCAAAAUGACCCCGUAACUUCGGGAGAAGGGGUGCUCUUUAGGGUUAACGCCCAGAAGAGCCGCAGUGAAUAGGCCCAAGCGACUGUUUAUCAAAAACACAGGUCUCUGCUAAACCGUAAGGUGAUGUAUAGGGGCUGACGCCUGCCCGGUGCUGGAAGGUUAAGA